Molecule: long non-coding RNA, 693 nt
Organism: Glycine soja
Lineage: Eukaryota; Viridiplantae; Streptophyta; Magnoliopsida; Fabales; Fabaceae
Exons: 2
Source: RefSeq, a predicted model, not a curated record
UCUUAGUCACUUCAUCCUGUCUAGGAGCCAUUGUUUUUAGUUUGUAAUCACAUUUAAACGCUCCCAUCUUGAUUUCUUUGAAGCCUUUGGUCUUAUCCGUCUAAAUAUAAUCAAAUUCAUUGAGUUUUACCAAAUGGAAAAAAGGAAUGGAAGCUUAGCGGAGGAAAUAAAAAAUCAAACCUAGCUUUUGCAAUUUUUGGUCUUUUUUUCCCUUUGAGCAAUCAAAUAUUGAGCUUUUGUCCCCUCGUAGGAUGGCACAAGAUCGUCACACCCCUUUUCCCUUUUUCAAUACCAAGCGUGACAUUUGAACCAGCCAUUUCUCUAACAAAGACACCAGAUAACAACCACUACCUAGCUGCACCCCCCCCUCUCUUUGCGGGACAACCCGACAACCAACACAAGUGCAACAUAGAAAAACACACUCAAAUUGACCCUCUUCUCUCAGUAACCAGUGUCGAAACGGGUAGCGAUAUUGCAUGGGACAUACAUCACAACACCCACCACUUGGCCCAUGCAGAAUAAUCUUGCUAGUUGUACAUUUUUGUGAUUUUAUUACAUGUAUUAAUUCGAACUAGUCAGGGUUGUGAGUUUUUCUUAUAAUUGUACAUGGGGUGUAAUAAAUUUUGCUUAUUGAAAAUCAUAUCUGAGUUUUAAAUGUAAAGCUAGUAUAUAUAAUGGUUUAUCAUUGUGGCG